Molecule: long non-coding RNA, 604 nt
Organism: Cornus florida
Lineage: Eukaryota; Viridiplantae; Streptophyta; Magnoliopsida; Cornales; Cornaceae
Exons: 2
Source: RefSeq, a predicted model, not a curated record
GAUUUGGGUUUGGUCAGCACCACAUAUUAGUCAAUUGUGGGAAUAUAUCUAUAUAUAAGCCAAUUUAUCUUGGAAAAUACCCUUUUAAGUCUUAGCUAUGUCAUCUAACAUAUAUAUGGUUUUUUUUUUACUUGACGUUUUUUUAGUUUUAUCAUUUUAUAUAGAUUAGAGGUAAAAAGACUCAGAACUACAUACUACAGCGGGGGUGAAAGCUUUUGACAAGCUUAGAGAUGGAAUGUCAUGAUUUUUGUUUGGUGAUAGGCUCGGAGAAUGAAAUAGCCUUCUUCAUUGAAGCCAGUGAAUGAUUAGAGGUAAAAAGACUGAGAACUACAUACUAUAGUGGAGGUGAAAGCUUUUGACAAGCUUAGAGAUGGAAUGUCAUGAUCUUUGUUUAGUGACAGGCUUGGAGAAUGAAAUAGCUAGUGACAAGCUUCCAGUUCCAGAGCAUGACCACUUUUCUUUUUUCUUGAAUGAAUGGGACUUUGUGGAUUUAAGUUAUAUAUAUAUAUAUGUUGGAUGAUUUGCUGAAACAAUUUGGGUUGAAAAGAUAUGUAACUGAUAUUAUAUUGUUUCUAUUUAUUUUGAUGUCUUAGAUAAACAUAAA